UGGGGAAUCUUGGACAAUGGGCGAAAGCCUGACCCAGCAACGCCGCGUGAAGGAUGAAGUAUUUCGGUAUGUAAACUUCGUAAGAAUAGGAAGAAUAAAUGACGGUACUAUUUGUAAGGUCCGGCUAACUACGUGCCAGCAGCCGCGGUAAUACGUAGGGACCAAGCGUUGUUCGGAUUUACUGGGCGUAAAGGGCGCGUAGGCGGUGUGUCAAGUCAGUUGUGAAAUCUCCGAGCUUAACUCGGAACGGUCAACUGAUACUGUCACACUAGAGUACAGAAGGGGCAAUCGGAAUUCUUGGUGUAGCGGUGAAAUGCGUAGAUAUCAAGAGGAACACCUGAGGCGAAGGCGGGUUGCUGGGCUGAUACUGACGCUGAGGCGCGAAAGCUAGGGUAGCAAACGGGAUUAGAUACCCCCGUAGUCCCUGAGCGGGCUGGCAAGGCGCAU
Molecule: ribosomal RNA, 447 nt
Filed under: uncultured bacterium
Lineage: Bacteria
Description: bacterial SSU rRNA
Rfam family: Bacterial small subunit ribosomal RNA
Source: RNAcentral